Molecule: ribosomal RNA, 843 nt
Filed under: uncultured bacterium
Lineage: Bacteria
Description: bacterial SSU rRNA
Rfam family: Bacterial small subunit ribosomal RNA
Source: RNAcentral
UUCAGCGGCGGACGGGUGAGUAAUGCCUAGGAAUCUGCCCGAUAGUGGGGGACAACGUUUUCGAAAGGAACGCUAAUACCGCAUACGUCCUACGGGAGAAAGCAGGGGACCUUCGGGCCUUGCGCUAUCGGAUGAGCCUAGGUCGGAUUAGCUAGUUGGUGGGGUAAAGGCUCACCAAGGCGACGAUCCGUAACUGGUCUGAGAGGAUGAUCAGUCACACUGGAACUGAGACACGGUCCAGACUCCUACGGGAGGCAGCAGUGGGGAAUAUUGGACAAUGGGCGAAAGCCUGAUCCAGCCAUGCCGCGUGUGUGAAGAAGGUCUUCGGAUUGUAAAGCACUUUAAGCUGGGAGGAAGGGCAGUAAGCUAAUACCUUGCUGUUUUGACGUUACCAGCAGAAUAAGCACCGGCUAACUUCGUGCCAGCAGCCGCGGUAAUACGAAGGGUGCAAGCGUUAAUCGGAAUUACUGGGCGUAAAGCGCGCGUAGGUGGUUCAGCAAGUUGGAUGUGAAAGCCCCGGGCUCAACCUGGGAACUGCAUCCAAAACUACUGGGCUAGAGUAUGGUAGAGGGUGGUGGAAUUUCCUGUGUAGCGGUGAAAUGCGUAGAUAUAGGAAGGAACACCAGUGGCGAAGGCGACCACCUGGACUAAUACUGACACUGAGGUGCGAAAGCGUGGGGAGCAAACAGGAUUAGAUACCCUGGCAGUCCACGCCGUAAACGAUGUCAACUAGUUGUUGGGUUUCCUUGAGGACUUAGUAACGAAGCUAACGCGAUAAGUUGACCGCCUGGGGAGUACGGCCGCAAGGUUAAAACUCAAAUGAAUUUGACGGGGGGCCCGCCA